GCGGGCGGAGCGCCCCCAUCGGCGGCCGGGCUCCGGUGGGGGGAAAGGGGCCGCGCCUCGGCACCGGGGGUGGCGACGGGAACGCCCCGGGACGCUGAGGGGGGAGCACGGGGAGAUGGAGAGAGGGGGGCAGAGCCCUGCCUGGGUACCUGGCGGGCUCAGCCCUGCCAGCCUUCCCCUCCCGCUCCUUUUAUUUUUAACGCUGAGGCUUGUGAGAAGCCUGUGAAGUAGUUGCUCAGGAAGCCUGAGGAACCAGAACCAAAGUCUGCUCCCUUAGCGUGUUUCAUGCCAACUGCCUGAAAUACAUUCAUGCACCGCUUCGUGCGUUCUCCCCUUCGCUGACCUAUAAAUGGUCCUCGGCCGCCUUUUGGCUGGAACGGUUUAGGAAUUGACCACAUCAGCAGAUUCAUCAGCCUUUCGGAUAUGGUUGCUGUCUCGCAAUCCAGCCUGUGAUCCUCUGCCAAGUACUUCUUCAGCUCCUUGUAUGCCCAAAUUGGUGUAAGGCUCAACACAAAUAAAUGGUGCUUGCCCC
Long non-coding RNA from Cygnus atratus (black swan), 532 nucleotides. RefSeq lists it as uncharacterized. Lineage: Eukaryota; Metazoa; Chordata; Aves; Anseriformes; Anatidae. The record is from RefSeq and is a predicted model, not a curated record. The transcript is spliced from 3 exons.